Molecule: ribosomal RNA, 505 nt
Filed under: uncultured bacterium
Lineage: Bacteria
Description: bacterial SSU rRNA
Rfam family: Bacterial small subunit ribosomal RNA
Source: RNAcentral
AGAGUUUGAUCCUGGCUCAGAUUGAACGCUGGCGGCAUGCUUUACACAUGCAAGUCGAACGGCAGCGCGGGGGCAACCCUGGCGGCGAGUGGCGAACGGGUGAGUAAUGCAUCGGAACGUAUCCUGUAAUGGGGGAUAACGUAGCGAAAGUUACGCUAAUACCGCGUACGCUCGAGAGAGGAAAGUGGGGGAUCGCAAGACCUCACGUUAUAGGAGCGGCCGAUGUCCGAUUAGCUAGUUGGUGGGGUAAAGGCCUACCAAGGCGACGAUCGGUAGCUGGUCUGAGAGGAUGAUCAGCCACACUGGGACUGAGACACGGCCCAGACUCCUACGGGAGGCAGCAGUGGGGAAUUUUGGACAAUGGGCGAAAGCCUGAUCCAGCCAUGCCGCGUGCGGGAAGAAGGCCUUCGGGUUGUAAACCGCUUUAGUCCGGGAAAAAGGGGUGCGAGGAUAAUACCCUCGUGCUUUGAUGGUACUGGAAGAAUAAGCACCGGCUAACUACGUG